Molecule: transfer RNA, 71 nt
Filed under: Loxodonta africana (African savanna elephant)
Lineage: Eukaryota; Metazoa; Chordata; Mammalia; Proboscidea; Elephantidae
Rfam family: tRNA
About the family: Transfer RNA (tRNA) molecules are approximately 80 nucleotides in length. Their secondary structure includes four short double-helical elements and three loops (D, anti-codon, and T loops).
Source: Rfam by way of RNAcentral
GCUUUCAUGGUCCAGUGGUAGAAUUCUUGUCUUUCAUGUAGGGGACCCGGGUUCGAUUCCCGGCCAAUGUA